This 416-nucleotide ribosomal RNA is filed under the name uncultured prokaryote. RNAcentral describes it as "bacterial SSU rRNA". It matches the Rfam family "Bacterial small subunit ribosomal RNA", at positions 505 to 918 of the family's 1533-position model. The record is from RNAcentral.
GUGCCAGCAGCCGCGGUAAUACGUAGGGUGCAAGCGUUGUCCGGAAUUAUUGGGCGUAAAGAGCUCGUAGGCGGUCUGUCGCGUCGGCUGUGAAAACCCGAGGCUCAACCUCGGGCCUGCAGUCGAUACGGGCAAACUAGAGUACUGCAGGGGAGACUGGAAUUCCUGGUGUAGCGGUGAAAUGCGCAGAUAUCAGGAGGAACACCGGUGGCGAAGGCGGGUCUCUGGGCAGUAACUGACGCUGAGGAGCGAAAGCGUGGGGAGCGAACAGGAUUAGAUACCCUGGUAGUCCACGCCGUAAACGUUGGGCGCUAGGUGUGGGGCUCAUUCCACGAGUUCCGUGCCGCAGCUAACGCAUUAAGCGCCCCGCCUGGGGAGUACGGCCGCAAGGCUAAAACUCAAAGGAAUUGGCGGGG